UACGUAGGGGGCAAGCGUUAUCCGGAAUAACUGGGUGUAAAGGGUGAGUAGGCGGUUUGUUAAGUCAUAUGUGAAAGCCCGAGGCUCAACCUCGGGACUGCAUAAGAAACUAAUGAACUAGAGUACAGGAGAGGUAAGCGGAAUUCCUAGUGCAGCGGUGAAAUGCGUAGAUAUUAGGAGGAACACCAGUGGCGAAGGCGGCUUACUGGACUGAAACUGACGCUGAGUCACGAAAGCGUGGGGAGCAAACAGG
RNAcentral lists this ribosomal RNA (253 nucleotides) under uncultured bacterium. RNAcentral describes it as "partial 16S ribosomal RNA". It matches the Rfam family "Bacterial small subunit ribosomal RNA", at positions 524 to 776 of the family's 1533-position model. The record is from RNAcentral.